AGAAUCAACGCUGGCGGCGUGCCUAACACAUGCAAGUCGAACGAGAAAGUGGAGCAAUCCAUGAGUAAAGUGGCGCACGGGUGAGUAACACGUGACUAACCUACCCUUGAGUGGGGGAUAACCUAGGGAAACCUGGGCUAAUACCGCAUAAUACCUUCGGGUCAAAGGAGCAAUUCGCUUAAGGAGGGGGUCGCGGCCGAUUAGUUAGUUGGCGGGGUAAUGGCCCACCAAGACGAUGAUCGGUA
This 245-nucleotide ribosomal RNA is filed under the name uncultured bacterium. RNAcentral describes it as "partial small subunit ribosomal RNA". It matches the Rfam family "Bacterial small subunit ribosomal RNA", at positions 26 to 285 of the family's 1533-position model. The record is from RNAcentral.